Molecule: transfer RNA, 69 nt
Filed under: Clupeichthys perakensis (Perak river sprat)
Lineage: Eukaryota; Metazoa; Chordata; Actinopteri; Clupeiformes; Clupeidae
Description: tRNA-His
Rfam family: tRNA
About the family: Transfer RNA (tRNA) molecules are approximately 80 nucleotides in length. Their secondary structure includes four short double-helical elements and three loops (D, anti-codon, and T loops).
Source: RNAcentral
GCAGAUAUAGUUUAACAAAAAUGUUGGAUUGUGAUUCCAAAGACAGGGGUUAAACCCCUCUUAUCCGCC